RNAcentral lists this transfer RNA (72 nucleotides) under Marmota monax (woodchuck). RNAcentral describes it as "tRNA.Ala". Lineage: Eukaryota; Metazoa; Chordata; Mammalia; Rodentia; Sciuridae. The record is from RNAcentral.
GAGGCUGUAGCUCAAGUGGAAGAGUGCCCAUCUUGCAUGUGUGAGGUUCUGGGUUCAAUCCUCAGCACCACA